RNAcentral lists this ribosomal RNA (254 nucleotides) under uncultured prokaryote. Its description in RNAcentral is "partial 16S ribosomal RNA". It matches the Rfam family "Bacterial small subunit ribosomal RNA", at positions 524 to 777 of the family's 1533-position model. The record is from RNAcentral.
UACGGAGGAUGCGAGCGUUAUCCGGAUUUAUUGGGUUUAAAGGGUGCGUAGGCGGCCGAGUAAGUCAGCGGUGAAAUUUUGCAGCUUAACUGUAAAAGUGCCGUUGAUACUGUGAGGCUAGGAUUUGGUUGCUGUGGGUGGAAUGUGUGGUGUAGCGGUGAAAUGCUUAGAGAUCACACAGAAUAUCGAUUGCGAAGGCAGCUCACAAAGCCAAGAUUGACGCUGAGGCACGAAAGUGUGGGGAUCAAACAGGA